AGUGAACGCUGGCGGUAGGCCUAACACAUGCAAGUCGAACGGCAGCACAGUAAGAGCUUGCUCUUACGGGUGGCGAGUGGCGGACGGGUGAGGAAUACAUCGGAAUCUACUUUUUCGUGGGGGAUAACGUAGGGAAACUUACGCUAAUACCGCAUACGACCUACGGGUGAAAGCAGGGGAUCUUCGGACCUUGCGCGAUUGAAUGAGCCGAUGUCGGAUUAGCUAGUUGGCGGGGUAAAGGCCCACCAAGGCGACGAUCCGUAGCUGGUCUGAGAGGAUGAUCAGCGACACUGGAACUGAGACACGGUCCAGACUCCUACGGGAGGCAGCAGUGGGGAAUAUUGGACAAUGGGCGCAAGCCUGAUCCAGCCAUACCGCGUGGGUGAAGAAGGCCUUCGGGUUGUAAAGCCCUUUUGUUGGGAAAGAAAAGCAGCAGGUUAAUACCACGCUGUUGUGACGGUACCCAAAGAAUAAGCACCGGCUAACUUCGUG
This 492-nucleotide ribosomal RNA is filed under the name uncultured bacterium. RNAcentral's name for it is "partial 16S ribosomal RNA". It matches the Rfam family "Bacterial small subunit ribosomal RNA", at positions 29 to 507 of the family's 1533-position model. The record is from RNAcentral.